GAGUUUGAUCCUGGCUCAGGAUGAACGCUGGCGGCAGGCUUAAUACAUGCAAGUCGAACGGUAAGGCCGAGUGCAGCAAUGCACGAGGCACACGAGUGGCGCACGGGUGCGUAACGCGUAUGCAACCUGCCCCCGACCGGGACAAAACGCUGAGAAAUCGGCGCUAAUAUCCCAUGCUGACCGAGGGCGGCAUCGCCUCUGGUCGAAAGAUUCAUUGGUCGGGGACGGGCAUGCGUAACAUUAGUUUGUUGGCGGGGUAACGGCCCACCAAGGCGACGAUGUUUAGGGGUUCUGAGAGGAAGGUCCCCCACACUGGAACUGAGACACGGUCCAGACUCCUACGGGAGGCAGCAGUAGGGAAUAUUGGGCAAUGGGAGCAAUCCUGACCCAGCCAUGCCGCGUGAAGGAAGACGGCCCUACGGGUUGUAAACUUCUUUUGCCAGAGAGUAACCGCCGCGACGCGUCGCGGCCUGAGAGUAUCUGGCGAAUAAGCACCGGCUAACUCCGUGCCAGCAGCCGC
RNAcentral lists this ribosomal RNA (520 nucleotides) under uncultured bacterium. Its description in RNAcentral is "bacterial SSU rRNA". It matches the Rfam family "Bacterial small subunit ribosomal RNA", at positions 9 to 518 of the family's 1533-position model. The record is from RNAcentral.